This 69-nucleotide transfer RNA is filed under the name Bos taurus (domestic cattle). It matches the Rfam family "tRNA". Rfam says of the family: Transfer RNA (tRNA) molecules are approximately 80 nucleotides in length. Their secondary structure includes four short double-helical elements and three loops (D, anti-codon, and T loops). Further hydrogen bonds mediate the characteristic L-shaped molecular structure. tRNAs have two regions of fundamental functional importance: the anti-codon, which is responsible for specific mRNA codon recognition, and the 3' end, to which the tRNAs corresponding amino acid is attached (by aminoacyl-tRNA synthetases). tRNAs cope with the degeneracy of the genetic code in two manners: having more than one tRNA (with a specific anti-codon) for a particular amino acid; and 'wobble' base-pairing, i.e. permitting non-standard base-pairing at the 3rd anti-codon position. RNAcentral also lists the same sequence under 2 other names. The record is from Rfam by way of RNAcentral. Lineage: Eukaryota; Metazoa; Chordata; Mammalia; Artiodactyla; Bovidae.
CCUGGUGGUCCAUUGGUUAGGACUCUGCACUUCUAUUGCAGAGGGCACAGGUUCAGUCUCUGGUCUAGG